GUCUUGAGUUCGUUGGCCGAGCUUCCGAAUGUGAUCAAGGUUAUAAAAUGGAUCUCAACUUUAUUGAUGAAGAGAUAAUGUCUGUUUGUUUUUAAAAUAAAUCAUGAUCCUAUGAAAUUUGAUUGAUAUGUUUGUAGCUUUUGAUUUUGUCCAUGAUUUGUUAUUGUUUAUUCGGAUGCUUGCAUUGGUGUACCAUGUGAUUACGAGUAGAUUGAUUUUGAUAUGUCUGUAAAAAGGAGAAAUCCCAAUGCAAAUUAGAAAACCUGGUGAUGUCUGUUUAUUCAUCAUGGUUAAUAUCAAUUUGAAUAUUAUGCAGACGAACGAUAGUUUAAAAAUAGAUAUUUUUUGAUUUUUUUCUUUUAUGACAAACUGAAAAUUUGGAUGCUAAAUGUUCUUCAGGUAGAUCUUGCUGGAUUUGUUAUUUGGUGUUGAAGUCUUGGGUUCUUUGGCCGAGCUUCCGAAUGUGAUCAAGGUUAUAAAAUGGAUCUCAACUUUAUUGAUGAAGAGGUAGAUCUUGCUGGAUUUGUUAUUUGGUGUUAAAGUCUUGAGUUCGUUGGCCAACCUUCCGAAUGUGAUCAAGAUGCUUGCAUUGGUGUAUGUGAGCUGUUAAAGAGGAAGCACUUAUGUACUUAAGGCCUGAUCAACCAAAGGAAAACCACUGCUCAGUAACAGCAGUGGUCCAGUACCUACAGCGGAUUACAUAAAGGGAAGCUGAUGGUGACAUCAUAAUUCAAAGAUAUGCCAUCGAAACCAAUGCCCCAAUUUUUAUUUUCAAAGGUCUGGCCCACAUUCAAUUAUGAAACCGCUGAUGUUCAUUGAAAUUUCAAACGACUGAUGCUCAUUAAAAUAGGAGGGUAAUUUGAAAUUUAAAACUUCAUAGGGAUAUGUAAUUUGCAUUUAUGAUCGACUUUUGAUUUGGGUUUGAAUUUA
Helianthus annuus (common sunflower) is the source of this 930-nucleotide long non-coding RNA. RefSeq lists it as uncharacterized. Lineage: Eukaryota; Viridiplantae; Streptophyta; Magnoliopsida; Asterales; Asteraceae. The record is from RefSeq and is a predicted model, not a curated record. The transcript is spliced from 3 exons.